AUCAUAGCGGGAGGAGACUAACAAGGAUUCCCUUAGUAACGGCGAGUGAACAGGGAUGAGCCCAGCACCGAAGCCUGUGGUCGUUUGGCCCCUAGGCAAUGUGGUGUUCAGGUUAGCUCGCGGGGAUACUGCUCCAUCCUAAGUCCUGUAAUGAGAAAGGUUACUUGGACAUGGCCCAACGAGGGUGAAAGGCCCGCAGGGGUGGAGACUCAGAUAUGCCGGUAUCUCCCUGAGCAGACCUUGGAGUCGGGUUGUUUGUGAAUGCAGCCCAAAGUGGGUGGUAAACUCCAUCCAAGGCUAAAUACUUGCACGAGUCCGAUAGCGAACAAGUACCGUGAGGGAAAGUUGAAAAGUACUUUGAAGAGAGAGUAAACAGUGCGUGAAACCGCUCAGAGGUAAACAGGUGGAGUUGAACUGCAAGCUUCGAGGAUUCAGCUGGUGAGUUUGGUAUGAGCUUGGUCAUAUGGGUUGUUUGUUCGGGUCUGCUUAGCUGCAGGUCCUCGCCUCUGGUGGGGAUGCGCGUAUCGCUUAUCAAGCUUUGUGCGCCCGGGCUUUCUCGGACCUGCUCGCCAGUGCACUUUCUCGGAGUGUUCACCACGACCGGCGUUGCUGUCUGGCUGGUGCGGUUAAACCGGUCUUGUAGGGUCCUUGUGGCCUUGCUUGGUCGGGAUGGCAGGUUGCCCGUUGUGUACUUCUGUGCGCCUCGGGUUGAUAGCCGACUGCAUCGGUUCUGUGCGGUACGUCGGAGACGGCGGCUUUUGUGCGUGCGGGCGUGCCUGUUGCGCUGGCGGCUCUGAGUCUGGUUGCCUUGUUGCUUGUAAAUGCAGGCCGGGUGAUGGCUCGGGGUCGUUUGGUGUGCGGUUGCGUUCGUGGUACUUUAAAGGGCCUAAAGUCUGUGGUGUAGUGGUAGACUAUCCACCUGACCCGUCUUGAAACACGGACCAAGGAGAGUAACAUGUGCGCGAGUCAUUGGGCGUUACGAAACCCAAAGGCGAAGUGAAAGUAAAGGUUCGGCUUGUCUGGACUGAGGUGAGAUCCUGUCGUUUCUUACGCGUGGUACUACCAAGCAUCGAGCGGCAGGCGCAUCACCGGCCCGUCCCAUGGCGUAGUAGCGGCCUCGUGCUUGCUCAUCGUCGGGGCGGAGCAUGAGCGUACAUGUUGAGACCCGAAAGAUGGUGAACUAUGCUUGCGCAGGUUGAAGCCAGAGGAAACUCUGGUGGAGGACCGCAGCGAUUCUGACGUGCAAAUCGAUCGUCAAACGUGAGUAUAGGGGCGAAAGACUAAUCGAACCAUCUAGAGUGCCAC
RNAcentral lists this ribosomal RNA (1305 nucleotides) under Echinostoma sp. RNAcentral describes it as "partial large subunit ribosomal RNA". It matches the Rfam family "Eukaryotic large subunit ribosomal RNA", at positions 42 to 951 of the family's 3401-position model. The record is from RNAcentral. Lineage: Eukaryota; Metazoa; Platyhelminthes; Trematoda; Plagiorchiida; Echinostomatidae.